AUGCUAGCUGUUUUUUUGUUUUUUUUUCAGCUGAUGGCCAAGCAUGCUAUAGACUACAACGUGUUUGGUGGGCCUCAAAACUUUGGAAAGUGGAUGGGCGUGCACUCAGCUCCGUCUUGUCCUGUUGAGGUAAUCAAGGAUAUAUAUCUAUGGUUGUGUUUGGUUUAUUUUGAUCUUGUGCACGUGACUUUAAUACGGGUUGGUUACUGCUGCUUCUUGUUUCGUGCACAGGCGAGGGCACCUGUUGAGCAUCUAAUUGGGCAGUUUGCAUCCAGAAUGACCAGCUUGCUCGGGAAGUUGGUUGAGGGUUGGACGUCCCUUAAUGGCUCUGACCGCGACGCGGUUGCGAGGCAGUUCCCUCCUUUUGUUGUAGAACGGACACAUCGGCCAACUGGUUACCGUGGUCGGUACGACUACAACAGCUCACAGGAGCUUCCGGACACACAAGAUGAACUAGAUGGAGAUGCUGCUCUUGACAAGGACAAUGACGAUGACAUGGAGAACGGGCAUCAUGACACCGACGAUGAUGAACAUGUUGAAGUUCGUGCAGGUGGUAAGAAGGGCAAGGGUGCACCAGAUGUCCCCUCACCGGAGAAAGUCAAAGAACAUACAACUGCGAGAGGCAAGGGGGUGUCGCCCUCAAAGAGGGGGAGGGAUCCAGAGGAUGUUGGGCAGGGCUAUCCUGUCAAGAGACCUAGGACCGAUCCCUUAGCUGCUAGGAGGAGGUUUGACUUCUAUUUUAGUGUUUUGUUUUGUCUCUCCUCUCGAACAGACUGA
RNAcentral lists this ribosomal RNA (777 nucleotides) under Triticum aestivum (bread wheat). RNAcentral describes it as "partial small subunit ribosomal RNA". The record is from RNAcentral. Lineage: Eukaryota; Viridiplantae; Streptophyta; Magnoliopsida; Poales; Poaceae.